Molecule: ribosomal RNA, 253 nt
Filed under: uncultured bacterium
Lineage: Bacteria
Description: partial 16S ribosomal RNA
Rfam family: Bacterial small subunit ribosomal RNA
Source: RNAcentral
UACAGAGGUCCCAAGCGUUGUUCGGAUUCACUGGGCGUAAAGGGUGCGUAGGCGGUUGGGUAAGUUUGACGGGAAAUCUCCGGGCCUAACCCGGAAACUGCGUUGAAUACUAUCCGACUAGAGGAAUGGAGGGGAGACUGGAAUACUUGGUGUAGCAGUGAAAUGCGUAGAUAUCAAGUGGAACACCAGUGGCGAAGGCGAGUUUCUGGACAUUUCCUGACGCUGAGGCACGAAAGCCAGGGGAGCAAACGGG